RNAcentral lists this long non-coding RNA (1111 nucleotides) under Phascolarctos cinereus (koala). Its description in RNAcentral is "lncRNA (ENSPCIG00000005955.2)". Lineage: Eukaryota; Metazoa; Chordata; Mammalia; Diprotodontia; Phascolarctidae. The record is from RNAcentral.
CAUUACCUAAUCAAAUUUAAAAAAAAGUUUUCUGCUUGUUGUUUUCAGCCUGGAUUUCCAUUUGCUGAAAAAGCUAUAUUUUCUAAGGGAACUCUUGGGCAACCUCAGACUCAGAGAUUUCACAAAUGUAGUGUCCUCAGCAGAAGCUCUUCCUCCCCGCUUAGAACUCUGCAUUUCUGCUCCCUCUACUUCCCCUAUAUCUCCCAUAAGGAUUCGCUUUCUCUGUUCCCUUAGUUCUUCUUCUCAGAGACUCAGAAGUAGCAACAGAAGAGUCAGCGUCCUGCCCCUCCUACUGCCUACCCAGGUUCCAGACUGAGGAGGCAUGAGGUGAGAUGUUCUUACCCCCUAAAUGCCUGAAGAAGUCCAGAAUGGCCAGAGAAGCCCCACUGCUGCUGUUCCUGACGUUACUGGGAAUCUCAGGCUUCCAGGAAACAAAAAAUUUGGACCACAAGUACUUAAGAGAAGGGCAGACGUUGAAUGUCAGCUGCUCAUACCCUCUCGAGGACCAAGAGAAGUCUUGGAAAGUUUGGUGUAAACUACAAGAGAAUAAAAAGGAUUGUAACAGAUUAGUGGUCAUAAAAAAAUUCUGGGUUUUCACCAAAGAAGGUAAAUUCUCCCUUCAAUUCAUUGAUAAGUCUAAGUCUGGCCACAUCAUCAUCAUAAUGUCAGGACUCAGGGAAAAGGACUCAGGACAUUACUGGUGCAUGACCAUCAAGAAAGGCAAUGCCACUAUCCUCAAGAGAAUCCACCUGGUAGUAUCUCCAGCCCAGAACACCAACAAAGAGAUUCAGAUUACUUCAGAGGUCCCUUCCACCACUCCAGCCACCUGCAGGGUGGAACCCAGGAGAUGGAGGAUGAAGAAGAUCCUAGAGACAUCCAUUAUGCCUCAGUGACCUUCAUCAGCCCCAGGGAACCGAUGUGCACAAACACACAGAAGGCAUCCAGCUCAAAGACUCUGCAAACCCCCUUUGAGUCUGUGUAAUUGCCAGCAUCACAAGGACUGAAUAUCAGCAUGCCAAAUCAACAGCCAUAUAUGAGCCAGUGGGCAGGGAGAGUUAGUCAUCUGUAGGUGCUUAAUAAAUGCAUGUUGAUUCCUUAUAGAAAUAUGUUU